Long non-coding RNA from Neopsephotus bourkii (Bourke's parrot), 3810 nucleotides. RefSeq lists it as uncharacterized. The record is from RefSeq and is a predicted model, not a curated record. The transcript is spliced from 2 exons. NCBI's taxonomy places the organism in Eukaryota, Metazoa, Chordata, Aves, Psittaciformes, Psittacidae.
CCGUCGUGCUCUGCAGAGCAGGCAGGAGGGGGCAGAGGCCCCUCUCUGAUGGCUGUGGCAGGUGGGUCAGCCCUGGACUCUGGUGCUGUGUUUGCUUUGCUGGAUCCCAGGGAUUUUGGUGAUUUCAACAAUGAUUUGGAGACUUCCAGAGGGACUCUCCAGCCUGCAUCAACACCAGUGGCAGCAGUGACAUUUCAUUGACUUCUGGGCAUGGCUGUCAUGCCAGGAAUGCCAGCUCCAUCCACAGGGAGAGCUUGCAGAUUAACAAAACCAAGUCAGUCCUGGUGGUGCCAGGACUCUGCUCACCUGUGCCAUGCUCUGGAGGUGGCUGGCCAUGUCCCGUUCAGUUGCCGGACACCUGGCUUGCUCCCAUCUCUGACAAAGUGGGUGUUUAACUCCUCGCAGCAACAACAGCAGAUGGAAAUCUCUGUCCAUUUCUACCCACGCCUCCUCAAGACACACAUCGUCUGGGGAGCGAUGCUGCCUACAUGAAGCCAGUGGUGACAGCAUCCACCAUCCUGGCAGCUGAAGAAAUGCAGGACAAGGCAGUGAUGCCCAGAGGAGUGAUGCCAACAUCACUCUCGUCGGGCUGGGUAAUAUGGAGGUCACCUUGUUGUUGGGAGGAAUUUCCUGGUGCUGCAUGGUUGUGGAGGGAUGGAUGUGAAACGGGUAAUGGAUAAGAGGGCAAGACAUAACACUGCUCUGGCGAUCUGAAACCCAUCCCUGGCAGUAGCACAUGUGGGUGCCAGGACAUCAUUCAGUGUCCCUGGGUCAUUCAGCAAUUCAGUUGAGGGAAGGCAGGUCCUCGUUGAAGACCAUUCCUGUCAGUGCCAGGGCCAGCAGCUGUGGUUUCCCUGGGAUGGCUUCCAGAUGCACGGAGGUGGGGGAGAUCCAUUUGUUGACUACAUGAGAAUGAAUGAGAGAGCGAGCCCCAGGUUCACAUGGGAGGAUGAGGGUCUUCACAAGGGUAUGUGCUGAGGCCACUCCCUGGGACAGGGCUUUCAGCAACCUGGUCUAGUGGAAGGUGUCCCUGCCCAUGACAGGGCACUGGAACUGGAUGAGCUUUAAGGUCCCUUCCAACCCAAACCGUUCUGUAAUUCUAUGAAGACAGAGCUGAGAAGGUGGCAGGUAGGAACUGUCCUGUGGCAAUGGACAGGGUUUACUCUGUUGGAGGACUGGUCACUGCUCACUUUGAUGACUCCUGCACACAGGACGUGGGGUGAGGGCGGGAGAGGGGACAAGGCACAAGCACAGAGCAGGGCAGGUCCUACCCAACACGAGUAUCCCAUCAGUGUGCUCCACUUGUCCAGGCUGGGGCAUCCGUAGACCUUCCCAUGCAUGUCCUAACACAUCUCCUGCGCUGCUGCAGGCUAUCUUCUCCCUGUUCUCUGUAACAUUGUCCUGCCUCGUGUUCGUGAUCAUAGCCCUUUGCCACCAUCUUCCCUUCCUCAUCUGUUCCCCAUAACACCUUCUGCCUCUCUGAAUCCCUGUCCCACCCCAGCAGCUGGCUUGUGGGCUAUUUUGGAGGCUGUAGGUUGCUCCCAGGACUGAUCUCGCUCCCCUUGAGUAGCAGCCAGGUCUGGCUGUGCUCAGCCUGGGAAAGAAGGUGCAGGAGGAAUGCCAUUUAGGAGUGAGACAUGGGUUGGUUCCUCAUUCAGCAUGGGUGAGGUCCUUCUGCCUGUGGGUAUCACCAGCAGCCAUGGGUUCUCUGUGUGCAUUCCCCACAGCAAGCUGGCCUGGUCUCAUGAAACACAGUGGAUGAGAGAACCCUGGUUCCUUAUUUGUUUGCCAGGUUAGUGUCUGGGAGUCAGGGUCAGGAAGCACAGACCUCAGAAAGCGGAGAAGCUGCCUGCAGCAUGGCCUGCAGGAAUGUAUUUUCCUCCCUUUCUGUUUUGUAAUUGCCCCAAGUUCACCUUCAGUUGGAUCAGAAGCUCAAGGAGCCCCAGGGUGAUGUGCUGGUGACAGUCUCUUUUACCUCCGUUCUCUACCCAGGGCAUGGUAAACAAAGCCCAAGAGCUGAUGGUGUCCCCUUAUUGCGCCAGGCCAUGGAGCAUCAUAUCAAAGGAAAAAUGUGCUCCAUGUAGGUCUCCCAUGGCAUGUGUUGGUCCUCACCUGUGUCAUGGCAAUGGACAGCUCUAGGUCCAGUAGCACUGUGUCACAAUGGGACUGUGUGGAAGCCCUUCUGGCUGAGCACAGGACAUGUGUAGAAGCGCCUGGUGCAGGGGGUGGUAUGAGCUGUUUUCAACAUCCAAGUGUGGCUCUGACGUACCAAGAGCACGAUCUCCCAUGCGCUGGCUCCAUCUCUCUCCACCGCUGCUAAUGACCUCCCACCCUCCUUAGCACAAACCCUGAGGAAGGUUGUGAGCAGACGCUGGUGAUUUGAGCCAAGACCGGGUGAGAUCCCAGGGGUUUUCCCUCUGCCUCGGGUGGCUCUGCAGCCUCCCCGUGUCGCUGCAGCAACCUCAGAUGUAUAUUUGUAAUGAUCUUCGGUGUUUGUAUGUUGGUGCGUGUGUAUUUACAUAUGAGUGUGUGUAGGUGUGUGUGGGUGCGUGCGUGUAGCCAAGGGAUCUAUUUACUGUCAACAUGAGUGUACAGGGGGCAGAUCCCUGGGGGGAGGCUGGGGCUGGGCUGGGGCUCUUUUAUUUUUGCUGUUUAAUUAUUCAGUUAUUUUGGGUUUCAGGUUUGGAUGGGAUUUUUUCCUUCAAGGGGGGUGGGUUUUGGUCUGUCUCAGAUUGAUUGACAAGGUGAGGGCCUUGAUUAGGACCAAAUUUUUGUGCCUGUUGCUCUGGUGAUCUAUUUAGAAAUCAAAAGUUUACUGUAUGGUGGCCCAUCCUUGUCACUCUAUACAUAGGAAUAUACAGGACAUAUUAUAAAUAUAUAUAUAUUAUACAUACCGUAUGGAGCGAGGUCAUUAAUCUCACCCCCCUCUCUGGCUUUGGAUGGACACCUCUUCAAUAUGCUGUAACGUAGCUUUGAUCCAGUGCUGGGAAUGACUGGAAAGCGCCAGCACCCUUCAAAAACUGGCAAUGACACCAAUAAAGGAAUGAGCAUCAUUGCAAAGGGCAUCUGCAGCCUCCUUCAUCCGCAGCUCCAGCCGCUGGGAACAUGCCAGCACCACAGUGCUGCAGCUGAUGUGUUAAUUGAAGUGCAGCUCCAUGUUGUGUAUGCUGCUCAGGGGGACCUCAUGGGCUGUGUGUGUUGAGAGACAAGGAUUUGGAAUUAGGGCUUCUGCAACAGCACAAAUGGGGGCACCAGUGCCCACCUGCCUGUAUUUCUCUAUAUAUUUCUAGUGGAGGCUGUCCAUGUCCAUGCCAAGAGAGUUGAAACUAGAAGAUCAUUAAGAUCCCUUCUAAGUCAAACCUAAUUCUAUGAUUUCUCCCAUUUUGUGUAAAAUAAAGUGUUUGUACUGAAACUGUAAUUUGCUGGAGGCUUUGAUAAGACAAAGUCUAAGGAGCAAAAGCUGGUUUUGCUGGGUAUGAGCACCUGCUGUACCUCUAAAAGGAAAUUUAUUAGCCCCAAGAGCACAGAGAGGCCCAUGUAAAAUCGGUGAGUUGAUUUUGAGGCAAUUUCGUUUAACAUGCUCACUUAUUUCAUAGAACCAUGGAAUGGUUUGGGUGGGAAGAGACCUUAAGGGUCAUCUACUUCCAUUAUGGUAUGAUUCUGUGAUGAUUCUAUGGUAAGGAAGGGAGAAAGUUGGGUUUUGUCAUAUUCAGUUUAUCUCUCCACUGCCGCCCAGGGCAGCCUGCGUGCAGAUCAGAAGAGCAAGGUCCGGAGGUAGCACAGAGAGAAUAAAGACAAAUCAGAAGCAUU